RNAcentral lists this ribosomal RNA (437 nucleotides) under uncultured bacterium. Its description in RNAcentral is "bacterial SSU rRNA". It matches the Rfam family "Bacterial small subunit ribosomal RNA", at positions 29 to 511 of the family's 1533-position model. The record is from RNAcentral.
AACGAACGCUGGCGGCAGGCCUAACACAUGCAAGUCGAGCGCGCCCUUCGGGGUGAGCGGCGGACGGGUUAGUAACGCGUGGGAAUGUACCCUUCUCUAAGGAAUAGCCUCUGGAAACGGAGAGUAAUACCUUAUACGCCCUUCGGGGGAAAGAUUUAUCGGAGAGGGAUCAGCCCGCGUUAGAUUAGAUAGUUGGUGGGGUAACGGCCUACCAAGUCUACGAUCUAUAGCUGGUUUUAGAGGAUGAUCAGCAACACUGGGACUGAGACACGGCCCAGACUCCUACGGGAGGCAGCAGUGGGGAAUCUUAGACAAUGGGGGCAACCCUGAUCUAGCCAUGCCGCGUGAGUGAAGAAGGCCCUAGGGUCGUAAAGCUCUUUCGCCUGUGAAGAUAAUGACGGUAGCAGGUAAAGAAACCCCGGCUAACUCCGUGCCAG